GUCUAUGGGCGUACCUAGGCGAAAACACCAGUUCCUGUCGGAUCAUUGCAGCUAAGCAUCUGAGGGCCUGGCCUCGUUUGUACUAUGGUUGGAGACAACAUGGGAAUCCGGGGUGCUGUAGGCU
Molecule: ribosomal RNA, 124 nt
Filed under: Schizosaccharomyces cryophilus OY26
Lineage: Eukaryota; Fungi; Ascomycota; Schizosaccharomycetes; Schizosaccharomycetales; Schizosaccharomycetaceae
Source: RNAcentral